AACUCUGUAUGAUGAUUUCUUUUCCAGCCAUUCAGACAAAGCUCACCUUGUUAAAUUAUUUGAAAAAUAGAAAAUUGUCCCAAGAACAGAUGAUUUCUUUCCUUGUAGGCGUUGGCCUCCCAAUUUGUGUUUCCAAUUAGUAGGGGGGUUGAAUAAGCCUUUGUCAGAGUGGAGCCCUUAAAAUUUUCCAACUUCCCUUGUUCACCUGACGUAACAUUGCGAACAUCUCAGUAAUUUUAGUCAAUUGUCCCUUCUUCUUCCUUCCCCUCUUACAGAGCUUCGACUUGAAAUUUGAUAAACUGGAAUCACCUUCGGUGGGACUCCAACGCCUCACAUCCCUUCAGCAUCUCACCAUUAACAACUACCCAAAGAUAAUACAUCUAUGAGAAAUGUUGUUGUCUUUCACUUUUGAGAUUGAGAAUCUCUGGAUGCCCAGGCAAAUAUCAUAUCCCCUGCAAUGACAUCUAAUACAGGUACCUGUUUAUUAAAACACCCUUUUGACUUGUUUUAGUUUGGAAUGAUAUACAUGUUACGGUUGAUCUAACAGAAGUGAGUGAAACAUGAUUUAUCGUGUUCUUUCUGAUAAAUUACGUGAUUUCCAGUUUUACCAUUUUAUACAUCCCAAAGAAGACAACUAACUACUCAAGGAUGGAGAAAGCAUGGUUUUGUGAAGCUGAAAUUUAACAUUUUGACUUUUUUAGUCAUAGGUCAACUCACAAAUAUAAAUAAGUUCUAUCUCUUUUUAUCCUGUGUAGAUUACUUACAGAUGGUUUCGGAUAGUAUCUUUGUAAGUUAAUUAAAACAAAGGCUAAAUGAAAUGUUAUCAUUUGUUAAAAUAUUUUCUUAACACAAAUGAUGUAAAAUUUAGAUUCUAAGAUCAAGCAAUCUGUUUCAGUUAUACAGUUAGUGCAGAAUUGCAAAUUUUGGGUCUAAUUACCAAAAGUCAAUAAAUUGGUCAAUCCUAGAUCAAAUCAAUUGCAUUCACUUGUGGAUACAAAUUUCCACUUCUUUCAAAAUUCAACCUGUUAGACCCGUUUGUGGUUUAUAAAACAGCAUAUAUAUUUUUAAUUAGAACAAAACGAGUACUUUUUGUCUAGGCAUAGUAUAUAUUCAAUUAUUCUUAUUUCAUUGUAAUGGCUUACUAAACGUCAAAACAGGUCGUAUUUGGUUGCAACAUGAUAAAAAGUCAUGAUAAGUUGUACAAAAAAAGUAUGAGUAAAUGAAGAUUAAUAAAAGUCUAACUUAACUGAGGCAUUUCAUCGAACACAUGGAGUGCAAUUCAUCAAAUACUUGAAACAAACAUAAAUUUUGAUUUAACUGGGACUUCCGUUGUUUCCUUCCCUUCACUUGAAAUUCUUAAAUUUAAAGAUAUGUGUGUGGAUGGGAGGUAUGGUCAACCAAUAGUGAUGUUUCAGAUCUGGUGUUUCCAUGCCUUAGAGGGCUAUCAAAUCUCACCUUGUUGAAACGUCUUCAAAUCACAAACUGUCCAAGUGUUGAUGCUUCCUUUCCUCGUGGGCUUUGGCCUCCCAAAUUGAACCACCUUGAAAUAGGGGGUUGAAAAAGCCCAUCUCAGAGUGGGGCCGCAGAAUUUUCCAACAUCCCUUGUUCGUCUAAGGUUAAUUAACGAACAUAUCAUGGGAUCCGGAGAGCCAAAGUCGAAUUGCAAAUCGGAUAGCAAACGAGGAAGGAGAAGAUGGACUGCAAAUUUGGAUGAACAAAAGCAAAAUUGAACAAUUUCUUGAUUAGGGGAGUAAUUGUUGGAAGAUUAUUAAUCAUGAAAUUAUGGUUUUUAGAAGUCAAUUAUAAAAGUCAAACUUGUUCAUAAAAAAGUCAACUGCAGAAUUAAAAAAUGAUGAACAAGAAAUUCGGUUAUGUAGUUAUGUUAGUUAGUUAGUUAGAAAACGGUUAAAUAACUUUCGUAUUGUAAGGGUAUAAAUACCCACAGAUGUCUUCAUUUGUAUGUGUGAAAUUAGAAGCUUAUAUUGCAUAUUCUCUUUGUCUCUGUAAGGUUUAA
This 2014-nucleotide long non-coding RNA is filed under the name Helianthus annuus (common sunflower). RNAcentral's name for it is "hypothetical non coding rna". Lineage: Eukaryota; Viridiplantae; Streptophyta; Magnoliopsida; Asterales; Asteraceae. The record is from RNAcentral.